RNA transcript from Erinaceus europaeus (western European hedgehog), 1116 nucleotides. It is a transcript of the gene named mitochondrial sheath formation associated, with no coding region annotated. The record is from RefSeq and is a predicted model, not a curated record. NCBI's taxonomy places the organism in Eukaryota, Metazoa, Chordata, Mammalia, Eulipotyphla, Erinaceidae. The transcript is spliced from 5 exons.
CGCUCGCAGUCGAAGUCCAUGGUUCGCAGGGGCGGAGUCAGGUGGCCUCGCGGCUCCGGGGGUGGCUCCGCGCUGCAGCUGGACGGUGGCCGCCGAGGACCACACUUCCCCGACCUCCCCGGCCGCGCUCCCUCCCGACCCGGCUGGUCGCCCAGUCCAGCGGCACAGCUACGCCCAGAGCCCCCAGGAGCUGCUGGAGGGAAACUUGGGCCAUCUGUAAAGACGAGAGGGGUCGAGCAGAAACUGUGAAGAGGGUAGAAGAAGCUCACACAGUUCUGGAAGAGUUUCUAGAAAGAUGUGGGUGGAGGGGGUAGCAUAAUGUUUCUGCAAAGAGACUCAUUCCUGAGGCUCCGAAGUCUCAGGUUCAGUCCCCCGCAUCUCCAUUAGCCAGAGCUCGUAAAAAGAAAAGGGGGGGGGGGGGAAGAGGAAAGGAAAGGAAAGAUGUCUUAAUUUCAGCAGAGUAUCGCAAGAGGCCAAGACAGCAAAGUGGGGUUACCUUUAGGGAGGAAGGGAAAAUGGCUGUAUGCGGAUAUUGCAUAUUGAGAGUAUGUAGUGUGGGACAAGGGUAAAAACCAUGAGAGGAUAAAGAGUACCUGUGGUUUCUUGAAGACCAGGAAAAGAGUCAAUGGAGAAUAACUGAUUAAAGGGAGUUGCGGACCUUUGGUGCCAAGGACUGGAUCUGACAUGCAAGACCUGUACCAACUGAAGGUUUCAUGAGCAUAAUCCUUUGCCAAGAUCUUGGUGAACAAACAAUCUUUCACUGUGCAACUGUGUCUUAAGAUUGUUUUUAUCAUGAUUGUGAUUGGCUGGAUGCUUUUUGUUGGACUCGCAUGUUACAUGGGCACAUUUCCAGAGUUUAUGCCUCCAACUCUGAAAUGGAGAGAGAGGUGGUCUAUUAAAGAGCGCAAGGCACGACUGAAGAGCCGGGCUUUGGAUGAAGAUCUGCAACUGUGAGUGGGUAGUCAGGAACAAUGUGGAAGGGAUUUAAGUAUCCCCCAGGAGGGACUCCAGUGGAAAUAAGUAAAGAUGAUCCUGGUGAAGUUAUGCAGCUCUGAAGCUCAAUGGACCAGCUGUACAGUUCCUGUUGUUGGUUUUGCAUAAAGUAAUUGCACAUUA